This 1866-nucleotide long non-coding RNA is filed under the name Cyanistes caeruleus (blue tit). Its description in RNAcentral is "lncRNA (ENSCCEG00000010642.1)". The record is from RNAcentral. Lineage: Eukaryota; Metazoa; Chordata; Aves; Passeriformes; Paridae.
CUCGGGAAUUUUGCACCUGUUUCAGCUCAGGAAUGUCCUGCACUGGACACUGGGUGAUCCUCCUCAAAACAUUUCUACAUUCUGGUCUUCUCUUGAGCCCAGAUCUGUUCACCACUCUUGAAAGCACCAUCCUGACUCACACUGGUACCACACGUCUCUGUUGGGUACCAUUCACAUCCAUCUGUGAGUUCAAAGAGCAAUUUACUUCCCAUUAAAGCAAAAAGGAGAGACAUCUUCUCUCCCCUUACACCCAUCAGAUCCAUCCCUGCCUUCCACAGAACUCUGCUGGGCAGCACCAGGACGCUGCCACACAAAGCUGCUGCCAAGCCCAUCCAUGGUGACACCCUUGGUCCCACCACUGGUGUGAGCUGUUGGAUGUGCCAGAGCUUCACCCUGAGCCAACCCCAUGUGCCAGCCCAACGUCCCACCGCUCUCCUGCCAAGGAAGGGGGAAAGCUGAUCACAAUUUUGGCUGGAGACAUGUCAGUGCCUGUGCCCCUGCUCAGUACCAGCCCAGGAAAUUGCUUUCUGCUCCUCAGCAUUUGACUGCCAACUUCCUUCUCCUCAUGCUUCCAUAAAUCGCUGGGAAACUGUGCCGUGGAUGAUCCAACAGCUGCUGAAUUUCACCCAGGAGACCACUUACCACUGAGGUGCAGCAAAGUUAUUUUGCAUAUCAAGAUUUUAAAGAAAUUUGGGCCAUUGUGAGAUGAAGAACAUUAUUGAUGUACCAUAUUUACUCCAGAAUCCCUUAUCCACACCUGGAAACAGUACUUAAAAACAGAGCUUAUACUGCAGGAUGAUGUGAAAACCUGGCCUGGUGAGAGGUAAAAUUUUCUUGAUUAUUUCAGGGAGAUGAAGGCUUCAUCCUGCACUAUUUAGGAGCUGUUGAGGCAUGAUGGCUACGUCCAGCUAAUUGGAUGCAUUGCUAUGGGCACUUGAGAAAUGUGAUAGACAGAUGCAUUCAGCUAGAGAGAUAUCCCUUGGUGCAGAGAGCUGAAGUCAAUUAGGGAGUUAAAUUGUGAAAGAUUUGACCUGAUGUCAUUUAUAUCUCGAGUCAUAAUUAACACUUAAAGUUCAACUCUAUAGCAAUCUUCUCCUAAUAACACUUAAAACCUAUAUAGAGCUGAAAGAAUUGCGCAGACAUGAUGAAGGAUGACUUGAGUGCAUGCCUGAAUUUCUGCGUUGGUAAUUAAUCCUCAAAACACCUUUGUGAGGCCUAUGGGGAGAAUCAUUUCUCUCCAGUUUCUCCUUUGAAGAGAAGCAGGGUUUACCCAAAUGGCUCCCCAAAGUCUCUGGCACCUGGAGAUAAGGACAGAAGCUCUUUCAGGUGUUAAACCAGAGAACACUCAGCUCAGCCCAGCUCCCCUCUUUUUGUCUUGCUGAAUUUUUUAAUUUUACCACAAUCUUUAGAAAUAUCGUGGACAAAUUACUUGUCAAAUGGCCUGGGCUUUCCAAUUAAAAUUUGUGCAAAUGCAGGACCUAAAAAUCUGUCACAAACACAGCUUCUGCCUCAAAGGUUUUCAUAUGGAUGAAAUAUGAAUCUCACUGGGGGAAGAAACACUCUCUGAGAGUGAGACCUUGUAAGAUGGGAUUCAGCUGGCUGCAGAUUUUUAUGGUCAAGUUAUAACUGCCCGUAAAGCAGGGGCAAAAUGGAAGUGCUGACAAAACUUUUAAACUACAACAGUGGAAAUGGCGCCGCAAUAAUUUAUAAUCUACAGGCAGCUUUGGAUUUAUUAUCACAAUGACAAAUGCACUGUCAUUGUUAAUAGGAUAUUUCCCAGCAAGGACUUCUUGUUAUGCAAGCCAGGUUCACUAUGUCAUGCAGCAUGAUAGCAAUAAAGUCUACAAGAAUUUGUAAUGAACUUCA